GAUUCGUCACACUAUCAUUAACUGAAUCCAUAGGUUAAUGAGGCGAACCGGGGGAACUGAAACAUCUAAGUACCCCGAGGAAAAGAAAUCAACCGAGAUUCCCCCAGUAGCGGCGAGCGAACGGGGAGGAGCCCAGAGCCUGAAUCAGCAUGUGUGUUAGUGGAAGCGUCUGGAAAGGCGCGCGAUACAGGGUGACAGCCCCGUACACAAAAGCGCAUGUGCUGUGAGCUCGAUGAGUAGGGCGGGACACGUGGUAUCCUGUCUGAAUAUGGGGGGACCAUCCUCCAAGGCUAAAUACUCCUGACUGACCGAUAGUGAACCAGUACCGUGAGGGAAAGGCGAAAAGAACCCCGGCGAGGGGAGUGAAAAAGAACCUGAAACCGUGUACGUACAAGCAGUGGGAGCCCCACCACUAAGCCAGUGGUGAACUCCACAUCCGCAUCCUUUGCUGAGGAUACGGUUAACGGAGCGAAAGCGACGUUCAACCGCAAAACAAGCAGAGGGGGCUUAGUGGUGGGGUGACUGCGUACCUUUUGUAUAAUGGGUCAGCGACUUAUAUUCUGUAGCAAGGUUAACCGUAUAGGGGAGCCGGAGGGAAACCGAGUCUUAAC
This 611-nucleotide ribosomal RNA is filed under the name Salmonella enterica subsp. enterica serovar Typhimurium. RNAcentral's name for it is "partial 23S ribosomal RNA". It matches the Rfam family "Bacterial large subunit ribosomal RNA", at positions 137 to 688 of the family's 2925-position model. The record is from RNAcentral. Lineage: Bacteria; Pseudomonadati; Pseudomonadota; Gammaproteobacteria; Enterobacterales; Enterobacteriaceae.